UACGAAGGGUGCAAACGUUGCUCGGAUUUACUGGGCGUACAGGGAGCGUAGGCGGUUGGGUAAGCCCUCCGUGAAAUCUCCAGGCUUAACCUGGAAAGUGCAGAGGGGACUGCUUAGCUAGAGGAUGGGAGAGGAGCGCGGAAUUCCCGGUGUAGCGGUGAAAUGCGUAGAGAUCGGGAGGAAGGCCGGUGGCGAAGGCGGCGCUCUGGAACAUUUCUGACGCUGAGGCUCGAAAGCGUGGGGAGCAAACAGG
Molecule: ribosomal RNA, 253 nt
Filed under: uncultured bacterium
Lineage: Bacteria
Description: partial 16S ribosomal RNA
Rfam family: Bacterial small subunit ribosomal RNA
Source: RNAcentral